RNAcentral lists this ribosomal RNA (235 nucleotides) under uncultured bacterium. Its description in RNAcentral is "partial 16S ribosomal RNA". It matches the Rfam family "Bacterial small subunit ribosomal RNA", at positions 100 to 334 of the family's 1533-position model. The record is from RNAcentral.
CGGGACGGGUGAGUAAUGUAUGGGGAUCUGCCUGAUGGGGGGGGAUAACUACUGGAAACGGUAGCUAAUACCGCAUAAUGUCUGCGGACCAAAGCGGGGGGACCUCCGGGCCUCGCGCCAUCAGAUGAAACCCAUAUGGGAUUAGCUAGUAGGUAAGGUAACGGCUUACCUAGGCGACGAUCCCUAGCUGGUCUGAGAGGAUGACCAGCCACACUGGAACUGAGACACGGUCCAG